Molecule: long non-coding RNA, 1672 nt
Organism: Lycium ferocissimum
Lineage: Eukaryota; Viridiplantae; Streptophyta; Magnoliopsida; Solanales; Solanaceae
Exons: 3
Source: RefSeq, a predicted model, not a curated record
CAAGAGAUAUAAGACACAAUUCAGAAAGCUGUGGAUAUCAUUACUAAAGAUUUUCUAACUGCAUUGAAAGAUCGAGGGGAUGCAAAGUUGAUGAUGGUGACUGAGAAGCUCCGGAGUUAUAUAGAGUCAAAUCAGUUCCUGAAUGAACCCGAAGGCUGGCGCCUCAGGAGUUCCUUGGAAUCACACGUUUUCACUCCAGAUUCAGAUCAUGAUCAGCAGUAUCAUCACCAACAGAAUAGAUUCCAUUAGGUCCCUUCUUUUUUCCUUCAGUUACUGAAAAAUUGUUAAGUCCACAGACAUCAAUGAGAUGCUUUGUUCUCAUAAUUUGAAUAUGUAAUUUGCUCCUGUAACAUUUGUAUAUCAUCAAUGAUGGUAAAACGUAAUAGUAUUCCUCUAUUUCUACCCUUCCAAUUUUCAUUUGGGUUUGAGUGGUAUGAGACAAGGAUUUACAUUGGUCAUUUUGCUAUCCAUGUGGGCGGUAACAAGAUAUAAUAUCAUUCAUCUAAGAAGUUUGUUUCUCUUGCACGAAUGGUACCAUAGGUUGCAGCUUGGGAGCAUUAGGUUUGUGGAAGAACAUUGCUACAAAAAUGAUGAUACUUGAGUUAAAGAUCAAAUUUGACAUUGAUUGAUGACAAUCUUUUACAAAAACUCUUUUAAGUCCACUUCCUAUUUUGUCUUAUUUUAUAUUGUAUCUUUAAAGCAAAGGGUGAUGCUAUAUAUCCAGGAUUAGUAAUCAUGACUGUAUUGAUGGAAUCGCAAUACCUAUCGUCUAACUUUGGAAUUUGGAUGGUUGUAUGUUAUGUUUAUACAGGUACAUCUUAUUUUUCUUAAGAGUCUGGUCGUCUUCUUGCUGAAGUAAGAAAAGGCAAUGGAGAUUCAAUUUAUUCUGUUGUUGGGUUGUUGCUUAUUCUCAAAAGACAUGGAACAUGAAAUCCGGACAACCUAUGCUUUCCGAGAGUGGAUAUUGGAGGCCUAAACCUGAUGGGACAAGUCGUCAUUGGUCAGAGCACUGGUCUUGUUGAAGGCGAUUUCCUUAUGAAUAAUCAGAUGUGACAUUUGAAAUAUGAAUCUUCGAUACAAGUCGAGCUUCAUCAAGAACAUGCACGCUAAGCCAAGCUAGGGAUCACUUCUUUGGAGGCUUACAAGGUGCUUGAAAUGAAGUUGGGAGAGGAGGCGCUAUUUGUGCAAAGGGGCUAUUCCAUAAAUGCAAGCCUUUCAUCCCUUGAGAAGACAACCAAACAUGGCUCUUACUUCAUUAAAGGUAUUAUUGUAAUAGCUAUAGUUGUCUUCUUUGUUUAUUUAGUAUAAAUACCACCUUAGGUUAUUUCAUUAGGGAGUUUUGAUGAAAUAUGAAUAUUAUUGUUAUCUCUAGAGAGAGAACUUAUGAGAGGCUUAUGGAAAGCUCUUGUUGAAUCUUGUUUUGUUGAGAGGAUUGUUUACUUGGGAGCUUAGAUUCCCUUGAGGUCAUCCUAAGAGAAUUGGUGCUUGAUUGUAUGCUAGUUGGAGGUUUUAGCUAUUAUAGAGCUUUAGUUGCCAAUUAGUGUCUUUCCUUGUGUCAUUCUAUCCAUCCUUUUACUUUCUUGUUGAUUUCUUUGUUUCUCCAUAUCCAUUAUUGUAUCAAUCUUAAUCAUCACAUCCCAUUGUGUCCAUAGACAUUUUACAUAGAUACUUU